Molecule: small nuclear RNA, 159 nt
Filed under: Echinostoma caproni
Lineage: Eukaryota; Metazoa; Platyhelminthes; Trematoda; Plagiorchiida; Echinostomatidae
Description: U1 spliceosomal RNA
Rfam family: U1 spliceosomal RNA
About the family: U1 is a small nuclear RNA (snRNA) component of the spliceosome (involved in pre-mRNA splicing). Its 5' end forms complementary base pairs with the 5' splice junction, thus defining the 5' donor site of an intron. There are significant differences in sequence and secondary structure between metazoan and yeast U1 snRNAs, the latter being much longer (568 nucleotides as compared to 164 nucleotides in human).
Source: Rfam by way of RNAcentral
AAACUUACUUGGCGCCGGGACCAGGGUGAUCACGGACGCCCUGGCCCCAGGUGGAGGCUCGCCCUUGCACUCUGGCGGGUUGAAGCAUGCGACGUUCCCUAAUCGGGCUCGCUCGGGCGCGUAGUUUUUGCUAGGGGGGAGGUCUUCGGACCAUCCCUU